RNAcentral lists this transfer RNA (87 nucleotides) under Candidatus Staskawiczbacteria bacterium. RNAcentral's name for it is "tRNA-Ser". It matches the Rfam family "tRNA". From Rfam's summary of the family: Transfer RNA (tRNA) molecules are approximately 80 nucleotides in length. Their secondary structure includes four short double-helical elements and three loops (D, anti-codon, and T loops). The record is from RNAcentral. Lineage: Bacteria; Candidatus Staskawicziibacteriota.
GGAGGGGUCCUAUAGUGGCCAUUAGAACAGCUUGGAAAGCUGUGCCUCGCAAGGGGCUCGUGGGUUCGAGUCCCACCCCCUCCGCAA